GAUGAACGCUAGCGGCAGGCCUAACACAUGCAAGUCGAGGGGUAGAGAUUGCUUGCGAUCUUGAGACCGGCGCACGGGUGCGUAACGCGUAUACAAUCUGCCUCUUACUGCGGGAUAGCCCAGGGAAACUUGGAUUAACACCGCAUAGCAUAGUGUUCCGGCAUCGGGACGUUAUUAAAGGUUACGGUAAGAGAUGAGUAUGCGUCCUAUUAGCUAGUUGGUAAGGUAACGGCUUACCAAGGCAACGAUAGGUAGGGGCCCUGAGAGGGGGAUCCCCCACACUGGUACUGAGACACGGACCAGACUCCUACGGGAGGCAGCAGUGAGGAAUAUUGGACAAUGGGCGCAAGCCUGAUCCAGCCAUGCCGCGUGCAGGAAGACGGCCCUAUGGGUUGUAAACUGCUUUUAUAGUAGAAGAAACACAUCUACGUGUAGAUGUCUGCCAGUAUACUAUGAAUAAGCAUCGGCUAACUCCGUGCCAGCAGCCG
Molecule: ribosomal RNA, 488 nt
Filed under: uncultured bacterium
Lineage: Bacteria
Description: bacterial SSU rRNA
Rfam family: Bacterial small subunit ribosomal RNA
Source: RNAcentral